UGAUAGUUAAUGGUGAGCUAUAUGUUUAAUUAGUAACAACAUAUGAAUUAAGGGAGAAAUAUGAUGAGACGAUAAUUUCAAACUUGUGAUAAGAAUAGUUUACUUUGCUCGUUUUUUUUUUUUUUUUUGAGAAAUUGAUUGUGUCGGAGUAAUUAGGUGAGAGCAAUGUCGGCAGAAAUGGUCAUAAAUAUGCAAACACUAUGAAAGAAAUAAAAAAGAAUAGACAUAAAAAAAAUUGUUGCAGUUUAUACCAAAUGGUCGAUGUUCUAUUUCUUUGUAUUGCAUUGUACGCUAUUUACAAAGUCAAAAAUUUUGUGUAUAAACUUAAAAUUACAAUCAUUGAUGAAUUGUACACUGUCAAAAUUUGUGUGUAGAAACUUAAAAUUACAAUCAGUGAUGAAUUGUACGCAAAUAGAUUUUUUAUACUGAAAA
RNAcentral lists this long non-coding RNA (432 nucleotides) under Ananas comosus (pineapple). RNAcentral describes it as "long non-coding RNA (ACOM_LNC011257)". Lineage: Eukaryota; Viridiplantae; Streptophyta; Magnoliopsida; Poales; Bromeliaceae. The record is from RNAcentral.